This 346-nucleotide unclassified non-coding RNA is filed under the name uncultured fungus. Its description in RNAcentral is "sequence contains ITS1". The stretch from base 1 to 105 matches the Rfam family "5.8S ribosomal RNA", at positions 50 to 154 of the family's 154-position model. Lineage: Eukaryota; Fungi. The record is from RNAcentral.
CAACUGCGAUAACUAGUGUGAACUGCAGAUAUUUUGAACACUAAGAUUUCGAAUGCACAUUGCGCCAUGGGAAUUUUAUCCCUUGGCACACCUGGUUCAGGGUCGUUUUUGUCUAAAGCGAAUGCUUUUACAGUGGAAACCGCAAACAUUUGCACGAUCACAAGCUUGCUCGCUUGCUUUGUGUUCGUGCAUAUUGGAGAAUCGUAUUUACUGCCCAGUAACAAUACGUGCUGGCCCGUGUCGUGGCAUUGUAGCUUCUACGCUGCACACGGUGCUUUGCUCUGGUAUUAUUGGGCGCAAUAGCUAUUUCGACCUGAACUCAGGUGUGAGCACCUGCUGAACUUAA